ACCCUGAGAUGUGAAACUGUUCGUGAAAAAUCAGCCAAGAAAAUCCAACAGCGCGCUUUAAUCAACCAAGGAAAUUCAUUAAAAUCUGAUUCGAGUUUUGGAGUUCGAAUAUUCCUUUAUUCAUGAACUGAUUUCGCUUCAAGGGUUUCCGAAUUCGGUCAGGGUUAGGGUUGGGGCUUCAGUAGAGAUGGAUGUCGAGUGAAUCGCAGAGAAGAUUUGCAGCUCUUUGGGGGAACUGGUGAUUUUGGAAGACUUGGAUUCUCAAUGGAAGCCAGCCGUCUGCUCUGCUUUUGAGAAGGAGAGGCUCUAUUUUCUUAACAGGUUGGAAAUCCUUAUCACUUAAUAAGGGAGCUCAUCCGAGGCACCAAAUCUAUUGUUGAAGCAGGAAAUUUAUGAUCUUUUGUAGAUUUUGGUGGACCUUGGCGCAACAGUAAAGUUGUUCCAUUGCUAUUUGGUAGUAGCUAGUUCAAGUUGGAAACAACCUCUAUGCGAAGUGGGGCUAAAGCUGCAUACAUUAUGACACUCCCCAUAGUGGUGGGAGCUUUGUGCACUAGGUUAUCCAAUUAUUUGGAAAAGGAUUUGUUCUGAAAUGUUAUAGAACGUCGAGUUGUCUUUCCAACACGUUUAGUCACCUCGAUCACACUCCAAUGAGGGAGGAAUUAUAUGAAAAAGAUCCUCCCCAGAGUGUUGGGCACUCAACUGUGGCAUGAGACGGCUUGGAAGACCUUGGGGCCUGUGCCAUGUGUUGUGUUGCAUGUAAUUAUUAUACUUUUCUUUUGUUUGAAUCAUUUCAAUGGAAGUACUGGAAGAGGUCACAUGAAGUAGAAAGAGGGAAUGGGACAUAGAGAGGCCUGGCCACGAGGAUCUUCAAAUCCAUCUUCAAAUGCCUCUUGGAGUUGGAAGUCUAUUAUUGGAGCAAGAGGUUUACUUUUGAAGAAUCUGUUCAUCUAGGUGUAGUUUGGGACACAAUGUGGUCCGAAUGCCCUUACCCUCUCCCUCGUAAGGGCAUUGUUUCUAGUUUGGAAUUGGUGUUGCUCAUCAGGAGUUGCUGAAUCACUAGCUGUCCUUUAUGCUCUUAUUAUGGCUUUGUGUUUGGUGGUUCCAAAUGUAUGGAUUGAGAGCGAUAAUCUUAUGAUCAAUAAUAUUUUGAAUCAUUGCUCUUC
Macadamia integrifolia is the source of this 1163-nucleotide long non-coding RNA. RefSeq lists it as uncharacterized. The record is from RefSeq and is a predicted model, not a curated record. The transcript is spliced from 4 exons. Lineage: Eukaryota; Viridiplantae; Streptophyta; Magnoliopsida; Proteales; Proteaceae.